AUGAAGACACUGACUGGACCUUUUGUCCUAUGCUUGUGGCUGCAGCUGAACUGUGUGAGCAGAGGAGAACAGCUGGAGCAGCAUCCUUCUCUCCUGAGUGUCCAGGAGGGAAGCAGUGCCGUUAUCAACUGCACCUACACAGACAGUACAAAUUAUUACUUCUACUGGUACAAGCAAGAGCCUGGGGCAGGUAUCAAGUUCCUUAUGAAUGUUCUUUCAAAUGUGGACAGGAAAGAAGAACAAGGACUCACUGUCCUACUGAAUAAGGAGGACAAACGUCUCUCCCUGAACAUCACAGCUGCCCAUCCUGGGGACUCAGCCACGUACUUCUGUGCAGCAAGAGGAAACAGAGCCCAGUCAGUGGUCCAGCCUGAUGCUCACCUCACCGUCUCUGAAGGAGCCUCACUAGAGCUCAAAUGCAGCUAUUCUUAUGGUGCAACACCUUACCUCUUUUGGUACAUCCAGUAUCCUGGCCAGAGCCUCCAGCUUCUCCUCAAAUACUUUUCAGGAAACACUCUUGUUAAAGGCAUCAACGGCUUUGAGGCAGAGUUUGUGAAAAGUAACUCCUCCUUCAACCUGAGGAAAAACCCAGUCCACUGGCGUGACUCAGCCAAGUACUUCUGUGCUUUGAGUGACACAGUGCCUGAGGCUGCAGGGGGAGCUAAGCACAAACCUCCGGAGACUUUCUGUGACUUGAAAGCACACCACGAAUGA
Microtus oregoni (creeping vole) is the source of this 714-nucleotide non-coding RNA. NCBI's taxonomy places the organism in Eukaryota, Metazoa, Chordata, Mammalia, Rodentia, Cricetidae. The record is from the annotation of a RefSeq genome assembly.